RNAcentral lists this long non-coding RNA (1446 nucleotides) under Lynx pardinus (Iberian lynx). Lineage: Eukaryota; Metazoa; Chordata; Mammalia; Carnivora; Felidae. The record is from RNAcentral.
GCUGGUCAGAGAAAGCACCGAGCCCGCCCCAAGAAAAGUCGGGGCGCCUGGGGGGCUCAGUCGGUGAAGCUUCCGACUUCCGCUCAGGUCAUGCUCUCACGGUUCACGGGUUCGAGCCCCGCGUCGGGCUCUGUGCUGACAGCUCGGAGCCCGGAGCCUCCUUCGGAUUCCGUGUCUCCCUCUCCCUCUGCCUCUCCCCUGCUCGUGCUCUGCCUCUGUCUUUCAAAAAUGAAUAAACAUUAAAACAAUUAAAAAAAAAACGAGGAGAGCCAAGCGCUCUGAAAAGCCUGUCCCCGGGUCACGUGGGAGUCUCAUGAGAAGGAGGGCGGUCCCGUGCACUUUGCCCUAACGCCUGCCUGCGUUCCCGGGGUUGCCAGGCCCCCGAGGGCCCUGACGAAAGCGAGGCUUUGCAGAUUCCUUGGCAGGUACGUUUCUUGCUGGUCCAGCGAGGUUUUACGUACUGGGUGGCUAUUCCAGCCUGUCCAGGGCAGACCUCGGGCCUGAGCCCAGCCUCCCCUCAUCCCCGAAUCCCAGCAGGCAGUGGGGGCCCGUCCCGCCGAAACGAACCCGGCUGGACACCCGCUUGGUUCUUCGGCGUCCGAGGUCUGUGUGACGGUGCGGACUCACCGUGCAUAAGUGCUUCCACGUGGCAGGAGACAAAGGUCCUGUGGCCUCAUUCUAUCCUUUCCCCCGCUGGGCAAAAGCCAGGAGGGUGUCCAGGGAGCGGUGGCCCAGUGAGAGAGCCCGGGACCCACCUCACAGGUGGCCACGUGUGGCCGGGGCCUUCUCCGUGGCUGCUGUGGGGGGCAGGCCCUCUCUCGGGGCAGCCAGCCUUACGCCAAGGGUCCGGCUGCCUCCGAGGAGGGCUCUCCAGGGCAGGAAUUAGGAACGGGAAAUCUGGGGGGAUCCAGAGAAGGCAGGAGACGGGUGUGGCGGGGAGGUGGGGAGAGAGGCAGGCUCCCUGGGGCGUCCCGGGCGGGCGGGGGCUCUGCUCUGACCCCUGUGGGUUCUCCAGCGGAGCACGUGCUCUGACCCCCAGGUCUGACCCCAGGCUCUCGCAAAGCCGCCCUCCCGUAAGUGAGCUCCGAUGGGACGCAGCCCUUCCCACGGCCCCCAGGACACAGCCAGGCCAUCGCGCUUCGAGGAACAGCCAGCCUGCGCCCUCAACCCUGCCCCGUCCCGCCCCGCUGACCGGUUGGCCUGCCCCGAGUUCCCGGGGUCAGAUCCCUGCACAGGCCGGAGAGGUAAAGGAGGCACGGUGUCCGGGGCCUGUCCCCGGUGAGUGUUGCAUGUGUCCCGUUGUCAGUACGAAUUUCCUCCCUUCAUGGAAUUUUGUCUUAUUGAGAUGGAAUUCACACGCGAUGGACGGAACGAGUUUAAAGUGCACAGUCCAGGGGCGCCCGGGUGGCUCGGUCGGUUGAGCGUCCGACUUCGGCUCAGGUCACG